This 440-nucleotide ribosomal RNA is filed under the name uncultured bacterium. RNAcentral describes it as "partial 16S ribosomal RNA". It matches the Rfam family "Bacterial small subunit ribosomal RNA", at positions 338 to 795 of the family's 1533-position model. The record is from RNAcentral.
CCUACGGGUGGCUGCAGUGGGGAAUAUUGCACAAUGGGGGAAACCCUGAUGCAGCGACGCCGCGUGAGUGAAGAAGUAUCUCGGUACGUAAAGCUCUAUCAGCAGGGAAGAUAAUGACGGUACCUGACUAAGAAGCCCCGGCUAACUACGUGCCAGCAGCCGCGGUAAUACGUAGGGGGCAAGCGUUAUCCGGAUUUACUGGGUGUAAAGGGAGCGUAGGCGGGAGCGCAAGUCUGGUGUGAAAUCCCGGGGCUUAACCCCGGGACUGCUUUGGAAACUGUGCGGCUGGAGUGCAGGAGGGGUAAGCGGAAUUCCGGGUGUAGCGGUGAAAUGCGUAGAUAUAAGGAGGAACACCAGUGGCGAAGGCGGCUUACUGGACUGUAACUGACGCUGAGGCUCGAAAGCGUGGGGAGCAAACAGGAUUAGAUACCCCUGUAGUC